GUGCUUGCUUCGGCAAAACAUAUACUAAAAAAUUGAAACGAUACAGAGAAGAUUAGCAUGGCCCCUGCGCAAGGAUGACACAUAAAUUCGUGAAGUGUUCCAUAUUGAG
This 109-nucleotide small nuclear RNA is filed under the name Chrysemys picta bellii (western painted turtle). The record is from RNAcentral. Lineage: Eukaryota; Metazoa; Chordata; Testudines; Emydidae.